RNAcentral lists this ribosomal RNA (253 nucleotides) under uncultured bacterium. Its description in RNAcentral is "partial 16S ribosomal RNA". It matches the Rfam family "Bacterial small subunit ribosomal RNA", at positions 524 to 776 of the family's 1533-position model. The record is from RNAcentral.
UACGUAGGGAGCAAGCGUUGUCCGGAAUCAUUGGGCGUAAAGCGCGCGUAGGUGGCCUCAUAAGUCCGCUGUGAAAGUCAAAGGCUCAACCUUUGAAAGCCGGUGGAUACUGUGGGGCUAGAGUACGGAAGAGGCGAGUGGAACUCCUGGUGUAGCGGUGGAAUGCGCAGAUAUCAGGAGGAACACCGGUGGCGAAGGCGGGUCUCUGGGCCGAUACUGACGCUGAGGAGCGAAAGCGUGGGGAGCGAACAGG